GGAUGUGGCUCAAGUGGUAGUGCGCUCACCUGGCAUGCAUGAGGCCCUGAGUUCAAUCCUCAGCACCA
This 68-nucleotide transfer RNA is filed under the name Marmota monax (woodchuck). Its description in RNAcentral is "tRNA.Ala". Lineage: Eukaryota; Metazoa; Chordata; Mammalia; Rodentia; Sciuridae. The record is from RNAcentral.